RNAcentral lists this transfer RNA (74 nucleotides) under Calidifontibacillus erzurumensis. It matches the Rfam family "tRNA". From Rfam's summary of the family: Transfer RNA (tRNA) molecules are approximately 80 nucleotides in length. Their secondary structure includes four short double-helical elements and three loops (D, anti-codon, and T loops). The record is from Rfam by way of RNAcentral. Lineage: Bacteria; Bacillati; Bacillota; Bacilli; Caryophanales; Bacillaceae. RNAcentral also lists the same sequence under 3 other names.
GGCGGUGUAGCUCAGCUGGCUAGAGCGUACGGUUCAUACCCGUAAGGUCGGGGGUUCGAUCCCCUCCACCGCUA